Long non-coding RNA from Podarcis raffonei (Aeolian wall lizard), 458 nucleotides. RefSeq lists it as uncharacterized. Lineage: Eukaryota; Metazoa; Chordata; Lepidosauria; Squamata; Lacertidae. The transcript has 2 exons. The record is from RefSeq and is a predicted model, not a curated record.
AGAGAAAAACGAGAUCAGGAGAAGAAGGGAUGUACACAUUAAACACACCAUGGACCACUUGGAUGAAAUUCAUGGACCACUGGUGCUCCGUGGACCACAGUUUGGGAUCCCCUGCUCUUACCACUCCACCAAACUGGCUCUCUGGGUGCCAGAGCUCAGGUCUGGAACAGAGGAAUCUCCAUAGUGCAAACCAGUAAUAGAGCUUGGGAGUGUGACUCAACAAGUAAAAUGCAGCCCCCUUUGGUGGUCUUUCAGGGGCUGGGCAAACCAUGUUUCCCCCACCUCCUUGCCUGCUUGGACCCACAAUGUAGAUUUUUAUGGUCUGCCUGGUGCUCGUUACAUGACUGGUGGCUUGCAAGUUCUGCCCUUCAGUGUUUCUAAGCAUGUGGCAAGUUCCAUUUAAUGUAACCAUCACCAGCUAUCUGUCCCUUCCUAUAUACUUAAAAACCUAAGGCUGA